This 433-nucleotide ribosomal RNA is filed under the name uncultured bacterium. RNAcentral describes it as "partial 16S ribosomal RNA". It matches the Rfam family "Bacterial small subunit ribosomal RNA", at positions 29 to 507 of the family's 1533-position model. The record is from RNAcentral.
AACGAACGCUGGCGGCAUGCCUAACACAUGCAAGUCGAACGAGACCUUCGGGUCUAGUGGCGCACGGGUGCGUAACGCGUGGGAACCUGCCCUUAGGUUCGGAAUAACUCCCCGAAAGGGGUGCUAAUACCGGAUAAUGUCUUCGGACCAAAGAUUUAUCGCCUUUGGAUGGGCCCGCGUUGGAUUAGCUAGUUGGUAGGGUAAAAGCCUACCAAGGCGACGAUCCAUAGCUGGUCUGAGAGGAUGAUCAGCCACACUGGGACUGAGACACGGCCCAGACUCCUACGGGAGGCAGCAGUGGAGAAUAUUGGACAAGGGGCGAAAGUCUGAUCCAGCAAUGCCGCGUGAGUGAUGAAGGCCUUAGGGUUGUAAAGCUCUUUUACCCGGGAUGAUAAUGACAGUACCGGGAGAAUAAGCUCCGGCUAACUCCGUG